GCGUAUACAAUCUACCUUUUACAGGGGGAUAGCCUUUAGAAAUGAAGAUUAAUAUCCCAUAGUAAGUUAUUGUUGCAUGAUGAUAACUUUAAAGUUUCGGCGGUAAAAGAUGAGUAUGCGUUCUAUUAGUUAGUUGGUAAGGUAACGGCUUACCAAGACUACGAUAGAUAGGGGCCCUGAGAGGGGGAUCCCCCACACUGGUACUGAGACACGGACCAGACUCCUACGGGAGGCAGCAGUGAGGAAUAUUGGACAAUGGGCGCGAGCCUGAUCCAGCCAUGCCGCGUGCAGGAAGACUGCCCUAUGGGUUGUAAACUGCUUUUAUACAGGAAGAAACCUUUUCACGUGUGAAAAGCUGACGGUACUGUAAGAAUAAGGAUCGGCUAACUCCGUGCCAGCAGCCGCGGUAAUACGGAGGAUCCAAGCGUUAUCCGGAAUCAUUGGGUUUAAAGGGUCCGUAGGUGGAUAAUUAAGUCAGGGGUGAAAGUUUGCAGCUCAACUGUAAAAUUGCCUUUGAUACUGGUUAUCUUGAAUUAUUGUGAAGUGGUUAGAAUAUGUAGUGUAGCGGUGAAAUGCAUAGAUAUUACAUAGAAUACCAAUUGCGAAGGCAGAUCACUAACAAUAUAUUGACACUGAUGGACGAAAGCGUGGGGAGCGAACAGGAUUAGAUACCCUGGUAGUCCACGCCGUAAACGAUGGAUACUAGCUGUUCGGUUUUCGGACUGAGUGG
RNAcentral lists this ribosomal RNA (730 nucleotides) under uncultured Winogradskyella sp. RNAcentral describes it as "bacterial SSU rRNA". It matches the Rfam family "Bacterial small subunit ribosomal RNA", at positions 115 to 846 of the family's 1533-position model. The record is from RNAcentral. Lineage: Bacteria; Pseudomonadati; Bacteroidota; Flavobacteriia; Flavobacteriales; Flavobacteriaceae.